GAGAAUCAUUCGCAAUGGGCGAAAGCCUGACGAUGCGACGCCGUGUGAGCGAAGAAGGCCUUAGGGUCGUAAAGCUCUUUCGCUUGGGAACAAGAAAAGGUGGCUAAUACCCACCAGAUUUGAGCGUACCAGGUAAAGAAGCACCGGCUAACUCCGUGCCAGCAGCUGCGGUAAUACGGAGGGUGCAAGCAUUAAUCGGAUUUAUUGGGCGUAAAGGGCGCGUAGGCGGAGAUAAAAGUCAGAUGUGAAAUCCCGGGGCUCAACCUCGGAACUGCAUUUGAAACUUUAUCCCUUGAGGGUAGGCGGAGAAAACGGAAUUCCACAAGUAGCGGUGAAAUGCGUAGAUAUGU
Molecule: ribosomal RNA, 350 nt
Filed under: uncultured bacterium
Lineage: Bacteria
Description: bacterial SSU rRNA
Rfam family: Bacterial small subunit ribosomal RNA
Source: RNAcentral